Long non-coding RNA from Panicum virgatum (switchgrass), 675 nucleotides. RefSeq lists it as uncharacterized. The record is from RefSeq and is a predicted model, not a curated record. The transcript is spliced from 2 exons. NCBI's taxonomy places the organism in Eukaryota, Viridiplantae, Streptophyta, Magnoliopsida, Poales, Poaceae.
ACUGCCCCUACGAUGCCGACGCCGCGCCCUGCUCUCCGAUCGGCCACAGCACGCCGUAGCUACCCCCAGAAAUCACGCUGAUCCGAUCUGUCGCAGCUUGAGUUCCUUCUUUCCCUCCGAGCGCUCCCCGGAGCCAGUCGCCCACUCGCGCACUCGCCCCGAACCUAACCGCUGGCUGCUGGCGGGCGGCCGCCGGCCAACAGGCGAGGGAGCAAAGGGCGCGACCGCGUGACCGGCAAGGGGCCGAGGCGGCCGACCGCUCGGGCAUAGGGCGCGGGCAUGCGGCGGCUCGGAUGCAUGGCGCAAGCGCUGCGCUGCGUGGCUUCCUGGCCGCUUGGGCGCGCUGCGCGGUGGCGACGCAUGGAGGCCAGGCGGCCAGCGGCCAGCAUCACCAGGCACCAGCAGACAUCAGUCCAGCACGCAAGAUAAGCGCACGGCCAGAUGGCAGAGGCAGCAAGCCAGCAAGCAAACAGGUUGAAAUGAUCAAUGACUGAAUUUUUAUGUUUGGAUGCAUUCGAGUAUGGAUCAAGAAACAAUGAAUUUCAGGAUUCCAGGAUGCUUAUACUUAAUUUUUCCUUUCCAUAGUGUAGACUUUGUAUACUUCGCUACAAUGUAACAUUUGUUUUCUACAUGUAUACUUAAUGUAUAUUAUAUAUAUUUGUUUCCUUUCUACAA